UUUGGAGAGUUUGAUCCUGGCUCAGGACGAACGCUGGCGGCGUGCCUAAUACAUGCAAGUCGAGCGAAGUUUUCUGGUGCUUGCACUAGAAAAACUUAGCGGCGAACGGGUGAGUAACACGUAAAGAACCUGCCUCAUAGACUGGGACAACUAUUGGAAACGAUAGCUAAUACC
RNAcentral lists this ribosomal RNA (174 nucleotides) under Streptococcus sp. UMB1385. Its description in RNAcentral is "partial 16S ribosomal RNA". It matches the Rfam family "Bacterial small subunit ribosomal RNA", at positions 1 to 170 of the family's 1533-position model. The record is from RNAcentral. Lineage: Bacteria; Bacillati; Bacillota; Bacilli; Lactobacillales; Streptococcaceae.